UAGAUGAGCCUAUAUUAGAUUAGCUAGUUGGUGGAGUAAUAGCCUACCAAGGCAAUGAUCUAUAGCUGAUCUGAGAGGAUGAUCAGCCACACUGGAACUGAGAUACGGUCCAGACUCCUACGGGAGGCAGCAGUGGGGAAUAUUGGACAAUGGGCGAAAGCCUGAUCCAGCCAUGCCGCAUGAGUGAAGAAGGCCUUUGGGUUGUAAAGCUCUUUUAGUGAGGAAGAUAAUGACGGUACUCACAGAAGAAGUCCUGGCUAACUCCGUGCCAGCAGCCGCGGUAAUACGGAGAGGGCUAGCGUUAUUCGGAAUUAUUGGGCGUAAAGGGCGCGUAGGCUGAUUAAUAAGUUAAAAGUGAAAUCCCGAGGCUUAACCUUGGAAUUGCUUUUAAAACUAUUAAUCUAGAGAUUGAAAGAGGAUAGAGGAAUUCCUGAUGUAGAGGUAAAAUUCGUAAAUAUUAGGAGGAACACCAGUGGCGAAGGCGUCUAUCUGGUUCAAAUCUGACGCUGAAGCGCGAAGGCGUGGGGAGCAAACAGGAUUAGAUACCCUGGUAGUCCACGCUGUAAACGAUGAAUGUUAAAUAUGGGAAG
RNAcentral lists this ribosomal RNA (590 nucleotides) under Wolbachia endosymbiont of Bemisia tabaci. RNAcentral's name for it is "bacterial SSU rRNA". It matches the Rfam family "Bacterial small subunit ribosomal RNA", at positions 222 to 829 of the family's 1533-position model. Lineage: Bacteria; Pseudomonadati; Pseudomonadota; Alphaproteobacteria; Rickettsiales; Anaplasmataceae. The record is from RNAcentral.